AGGACGAACGCUGGCGGCGUGCUUAACACAUGCAAGUCGAGCGGAAAGGCCCUUCGGGGUACUCGAGCGGCGAACGGGUGAGUAACACGUGAGCAACCUGCCCUUAACUCUGGGAUAGCUCCGGGAAACCGGAAUUAAUACCGGAUAUUACACCGGCUGGCAUCGGCUGGUGUGGAAAGAUUUAUCGGCUAAGGAUGGACUCGCGGCCUAUCAGCUUGUUGGUGGGGUAGAAGCCUACCAAGGCGACGACGGGUA
RNAcentral lists this ribosomal RNA (255 nucleotides) under uncultured bacterium. Its description in RNAcentral is "partial small subunit ribosomal RNA". It matches the Rfam family "Bacterial small subunit ribosomal RNA", at positions 26 to 285 of the family's 1533-position model. The record is from RNAcentral.